UAAUGUAAGAUGAACUUCUCCAAGCCGAGUUAAAAUCUUUUCACAAUCUUGUAUAUGAUCAACAACAUAUGUGCGACAUCCCCUCGUAUCUAAAGUUUCAUCCUUGUCUCCUUCUCUGCACCCUUUUAUAGGAACAUCAUCCAGAAAAGGCAUAGUCUUUUCCGGAAUAAAAUCUCUCAAUACCUUAUUCAUCCCAUUCA
RNAcentral lists this long non-coding RNA (200 nucleotides) under Physcomitrium patens. RNAcentral's name for it is "long non-coding RNA (PPAT_LNC005256)". Lineage: Eukaryota; Viridiplantae; Streptophyta; Bryopsida; Funariales; Funariaceae. The record is from RNAcentral.